ACGCGAAGAACCUUACCUACUCUUGACAUCCAGAGAACUUUCCAGAGAUGGAUUGGUGCCUUCGGGAACUCUGAGACAGGUGCUGCAUGGCUGUCGUCAGCUCGUGUUGUGAAAUGUUGGGUUAAGUCCCGCAACGAGCGCAACCCUUAUCCUUGUUUGCCAGCGAGUAAUGUCGGGAACUCCAGGGAGACUGCCGGUGAUAAACCGGAGGAAGGUGGGGACGACGUCAAGUCAUCAUGGCCCUUACGAGUAGGGCUACACACGUGCUACAAUGGCGCAUACAGAGGGCGGCCAACUUGCGAAAGUGAGCGAAUCCCAAAAAGUGCGUCGUAGUCCGGAUUGGAGUCUGCAACUCGACUCCAUGAAGUCGGAAUCGCUAGUAAUC
This 385-nucleotide ribosomal RNA is filed under the name Vibrio sp. NIOB 850. RNAcentral's name for it is "bacterial SSU rRNA". It matches the Rfam family "Bacterial small subunit ribosomal RNA", at positions 959 to 1343 of the family's 1533-position model. The record is from RNAcentral. Lineage: Bacteria; Pseudomonadati; Pseudomonadota; Gammaproteobacteria; Vibrionales; Vibrionaceae.